UGGAGAACGCUGGCGGCGUGCCUCAAACAUGCAAGUCGAGCGAGGCUAUGAAUUACCGCAAGGUAAGGCAUAGCCUAGCGGCGAACGGGUGAGUAACACGUGGGUAACCUACCUGGAAGACAGGGAUAACGAUUCGAAAGGGUCGCUAAUACCUGAUAAUAUCCAUCUGCCGGAUGGCGGAGGGAAGAAAGGGGAAACCCGCUUUCAGAUGGGCCCGCGUCCCAUCAGCUAGUUGGUAAGGUAAAGGCUUACCAAGGCGACGACGGGUAGCCGGUCUGAGAGGAUGUACGGCCACACUGGGACUGAGAUACGGCCCAGACUCCUACGGGAGGCAGCAGUUGGGAAUCUUAGGCAAUGGACGAAAGUCUGACCUAGCGACGCCGCGUGAGGGAAGAAGGCCUUCGGGUUGUAAACCUCUGUCAUGGGGGAAGAAGGAAGUGACGGUACCCCAAGAGGAAGCCCCUGCUAACUACGUG
This 476-nucleotide ribosomal RNA is filed under the name uncultured bacterium. Its description in RNAcentral is "bacterial SSU rRNA". It matches the Rfam family "Bacterial small subunit ribosomal RNA", at positions 31 to 507 of the family's 1533-position model. The record is from RNAcentral.